RNAcentral lists this ribosomal RNA (435 nucleotides) under uncultured Saccharofermentans sp. Its description in RNAcentral is "bacterial SSU rRNA". It matches the Rfam family "Bacterial small subunit ribosomal RNA", at positions 341 to 792 of the family's 1533-position model. The record is from RNAcentral. Lineage: Bacteria; Bacillati; Bacillota; Clostridia; Eubacteriales; Oscillospiraceae.
ACGGGAGGCAGCAGUGGGGAAUAUUGGGCAAUGGGCGAAAGCCUGACCCAGCAACGCCGCGUGAAGGAUGAAGGUCUUCGGAUUGUAAACUUCUUUGAUCAGGGACGAAUUUUGACGGUACCUGAAGAACAAGUCGCGGCUAACUACGUGCCAGCAGCCGCGGUAAUACGUAGGUGACAAGCGUUAUCCGGAUUUACUGGGUGUAAAGGGCGUGUAGGCGGUUUUGCAAGUCAGAUGUGAAAUUCCCGGGCUUAGCUUGGGCGCUGCAUCUGAAACUGCAGAACUUGAGUACUGGAGGGGAUAGCGGAAUUCCUAGUGUAGCGGUAAAAUGCGCAGAUAUUAGGAGGAACACCGGUGGCGAAGGCGGCUUGCUGGACGAUAACUGACGCUGAGGCUCGAAAGCGUGGGGAGCAAACAGGAUUAGAUACCCUGGUA